UCAGUGAAUCAUCGAAUCUUUGAACGCACCUUGCGCCCUUUGGCUAUUCCGAAGGGCAUGCCUGUUURAGUAUCAUGAACACCUCAACUCUCAUGGCUCGCCAUGAUGAGCUUGGACUUUGGGGGACUUGCUGGCCUGCAGUCAGCUCCUCUUGAAUGAAUCAGCUAGCCAGUGUUUAGGUGGCAUCGCAGGUGUGAUAACUAUCUACGCUUGUGGUUCUCCACCAGGUAACCUUCAGUGAUGAAGGUUCGCUGGGGCUCAUAAACGUCUCUCCUCGGRGAGGACAGUUCUAUGAACAUUUGAUCUCAAAUCAGGUAGGACUACCCGCUGAACUUAAGCAUAUCAAUAAGCGG
Molecule: small RNA, 353 nt
Filed under: uncultured fungus
Lineage: Eukaryota; Fungi
Description: eukaryotic LSU rRNA
Rfam family: 5.8S ribosomal RNA (bases 1-75)
Source: RNAcentral